GACGAACGCUGGCGGCGUGCCUAAUACAUGCAAGUAGAACGCUGAAGGAGGAGCUUGCUUCUCUGGAUGAGUUGCGAACGGGUGAGUAACGCGUAGGUAACCUGCCUGGUAGCGGGGGAUAACUAUUGGAAACGAUAGCUAAUACCGCAUAAGAGUAGAUGUUGCAUGACAUUUGCUUAAAAGGUGCAAUUGCAUCACUACCAGAUGGACCUGCGUUGUAUUAGCUAGUUGGUGGGGUAACGGCUCACCAAGGCGACGAUACAUAGCCGACCUGAGAGGGUGAUCGGCCACACUGGGACUGAGACACGGCCCAGACUCCUACGGGAGGCAGCAGUAGGGAAUCUUCGGCAAUGGACGGAAGUCUGACCGAGCAACGCCGCGUGAGUGAAGAAGGUUUUCGGAUCGUAAAGCUCGGUUGUAAGAGAAGAACGAGUGUGAGAGUGGAAAGUUCACACUGUGACGGUAUCUUACCAGAAAGGGGCGGCUAACUACGUG
This 495-nucleotide ribosomal RNA is filed under the name uncultured bacterium. Its description in RNAcentral is "partial 16S ribosomal RNA". It matches the Rfam family "Bacterial small subunit ribosomal RNA", at positions 28 to 507 of the family's 1533-position model. The record is from RNAcentral.